AAAACCCCGGAAGGACCCGGAGUCAUUCAGAGCCCCGAAAGGGCUUGAGCCGCCUUGGGCGCCCAAGAGGGCUGUGGGGUCCCAGGUAGACCCCCCGGUGAACAGACUUGCACAAUGCGUUAGUGGACAUUUAAGGACUCAGCCCCGUCCGAGACACGCGGACUGAAACUCACGAGGACCUUCAGAGCACAGGCUUGUAGAGGGGCACUGACGCUCUGGCCGACCCACGGGCGUACACACUUCUGUUUCCGUUCUUUCGCCCCCUGGUUCUUAAAGGGUCAUGUCCGACUCUGCGACCCCAUGGACUCUAGCCCGCCAGGCUCCUCGGCCCAUGGGAUUAUUCAGGCAGGAAUACUUGAGUGGGUUGCCUUUUCCUCCUCCAGGAGAUCUUCCCCACCCAGGCAUGGAAUCCGAGUCUCCUGCAUUGGCAGGCGGAUUCUUUACCACUGAGCUACCUGGGUAGACGUCAAAACAGAUAGAGACUUAGACUUAGUGUUGCCCAAGCUCAGAUGAUUCUCAGAUAAGGAAACAGGUCGAGAGAAGUGAAUGAUCUGUUCAUCUUCACCCAUCCAUGCCUUCCCAAUGUCAAGACAAAAGCUGAAGAAAGGGAGAAGAGGAAUGAUAGACUUAUUUGGAGAAGAUCAGUGCUGCCCAUCCUUUGCUGGGCGAACAAGAUUUGAAUCAGCAAAGAUGAGGAAAGGUAAGAGGCAAAGACAUGAGAAAGGCUGGAAAGCGACACUGUGCCGGGGAGUGGAGAGGAGCAUCCAGGUGUCCCGGCUUCGCUCUGCUUGGCCCUGCCUCAGCUGACCAGACUCAUGGUUAGGCCCCAGAUGAUGGACCCUCUGGAAGUGGCUUCUUCUCUCCCUCGGGCAGGUUGGCUGAAAAAGCUGGAUUCUGUUUCCGCAGAGAGAAUAGAAUAAGGAAUGUGUUAAUUUUAGAAAGAGCAUUACACACACCCACCAGAAUGCCUAAAAUGGAAAUGAUGGAAAAUGCUAGGAGAUGCUCAGGGACACUCCCACACAGCUGAGGGGAAUGUGGAUUGGUACUGACUUUGGAGGAUGGUUUUGAGGGUAUCUCCUGAAACCAACCGUACACACCUUAGUCCAAAGUGGAGGAGGCGAGGAAGAUGCCUGGAAAUCAAGUCUUCCAGGGAAUGAAAGGGAUCAUGGGCAAAGAGGACCCGUGCCCAGGAGUGUACAAGAGUACACAGGCUCAACAGACUGAAAUCACCUUUCCCAGAACUGUGAAAAUUCAUAUUACUUCUCCUCUUUGAGCUUGUGUUUCUAGAGAACUACACACAACUUAGCAUAAGCAGAACAGGUGUACAAGAUAGUGACUCACAGUUUUUAAGGGAGUGAGAGAAGAUGAGCUGGUUGAAUGGCAUCAUCGACUCAAUGGACGUGAGUCUGAGCAAACUCCAAGAAAUAGUGAAGGACAAGGAAGCCUGGAAUGCUGCAGUCCAUGGAGUUGCAAAGAGUCGGAGACUACUGAGCAACUGAACAACAGCAACAGCACUCCACUUACAGCUUUUUAUAAAAUAUUGGUUGUAUUCUCUGUGUUCUACAAUAUAUCCUUGUAGCUUAUUUUAUACAUAAUAGUUCAUACUCUUAAUCCCUUGCCCUUAUAUUGCCUCUUUAUCCUUCUCUCUCCCUACAGGUAACCACUAGUUUGUAUUUUAUUUGUUGUUAUUCAUUCACUAAGUCUUGUCCAAUUCAUUGUGGCUUCCCUGUCCUUCACUGUCUCCCAGACUUUGCUCAAAUUCAUGUUCAUUGAGUUGGUGAUGCUAUCUAACCAUCUCAUCCUCUGCUGUCCCCUUCUCCUUUUGCCUUCAAUCUUUCCCAACAUCAGGGUCUUUGCCAAUGGGUCAGCUUUUUGCAUCAGGUAGGCAAAGUAUGGGAGCUUCAGCUUUAGCCCAUCAGCCCUUCCAAUGAAUAUUCAGGGUCGAUUUCCUUUAGCAUUGACUGGUUUGAUCUCCUUGCAACCCAAGGGACUCUCAAGAGUCCUCCAGUACUACAAUUCAAAAGCAUCAAUUCUUCGGCACUCAGCUUUCUUUAUGGUCCAACUCUCACAUCUGUACGUGAGCCUGUUUCUUUUUUGUUAUAGUCACUAGUUUUAUUUUUUAGAUACCACAUAUAAAUGGUAUCAUACAGUAUUUCUCUUUGACUUAUUUCACUUAGCAUAAUAUCCUCCAAGUCCAUCCAUGUUGCUGUAAAUGCAAAGUUACAUUCCUGUUUGUGGCUGAGUAGUAUUCCAGUGUACCACAUCUUCUUUAUCCGUUCAUCUGCUGGUGAACACUUGGGUUGCUUCAGUAUUUUGGCAAUUGUAGAUAAUGCUUCUGUGAACAUUGGGGUCUGUGAACAAGUAUUUUUCUCAAGUUUAUCUUUUUGGUUUUUCUUCAGGUAUAUAUGCAGGAGUGGAAUCAUAUUGUAGUUCUAGUCUUAAUUUUUUUUGAGAAAACUCCAUACUGUUUUUCACAGUGGCUGCAUCAAUUUACAUUCCUACCAACAGUGUACAAGGGUUCUGUUUUCUUCACAUCCUAGCCAACAUUUGCUAUUUGUAUUCUUUUUGAUGAUAGCUGUUUUGACAGGUGUGAGGUGAUACCUCGUUGAUAGGUUUUGAUUUGCAUUUCUCUGAUGAUUAGCAGUGUUGAGCAUCUUUUCAUGUGCCUGCUGACCAUCUGCAUUUCCUCUUUGAAAAAAUUUCUGUUCAGUUAUUCUGCCCAUUUUUUAAUCAGGUUUUUUUUUUUUUUUUGAUGUUGACUUGUAUGAGUUGUUUAUCUAUUUUGUAUGUGCACCCUUUGUCAGUCGUAUCAUUUGAAGAUAUUUUCUCCCAUUCAGUAGGUUGCCAUUUUUUGGUCAGUGGUUUCAUUUGUUAUGCAAAAGCUUUUAAGUUUACUUAUGUCCCAUUUGUUUAUUUUUGCUUUUAUUAGGAAACAAAUUUUUUAAAAAUUGCUAUGAAUUAUGUCAGAUGUUCUGCCUAUAUUUCCCUCAAGGAGUCCUGUGGUUUCUGGUCUUACAUUUAGGUCUUCAAUACAUUUUAAUUUAAUUUUGUAUAGGGUGUGGGAGAAUGCUCUGAUUUCAUUCUUUUAUUAAUACAUGUAUCUGUCCACUUUUCCCAAAACCACUUAUUGAAGAGAUUGUCUUUUCUCUGAUAGAUGUUCUUGCUCCCUUGUCAUGGAUUAGUUGACCACAGCAUGUGGCUUUAUGUCUGUGCUCUCUAUUCUAUUGCAUUGAGCUGUCUGUCUGUUUUUGUGCCAGUACCAGGCUGUGUUAAUUAGCUUUAUUGUGGAGUCUAGAGUAAGGGAGGGUGAUUCCUCCAGUGCUGUUCAUUUCUCUCAAAGUCAUUUUGGUUAUUUGGGGUCUUUUGUGUUUCCAUAUAAAUUUUAGAAUUAUU
This is a long non-coding RNA of Dama dama (fallow deer), 3393 nucleotides long. RefSeq lists it as uncharacterized. The transcript is spliced from 2 exons. The record is from RefSeq and is a predicted model, not a curated record. NCBI's taxonomy places the organism in Eukaryota, Metazoa, Chordata, Mammalia, Artiodactyla, Cervidae.